This is a long non-coding RNA of Anopheles stephensi (Asian malaria mosquito), 2729 nucleotides long. RefSeq lists it as uncharacterized. The transcript is spliced from 3 exons. The record is from RefSeq and is a predicted model, not a curated record. Lineage: Eukaryota; Metazoa; Arthropoda; Insecta; Diptera; Culicidae.
CUGUGGUUUGCGGUAAAGCUCGAAGGCCGAUCCUCGCUGCUCUCGGCUACCGGCGAGAUCGAGCGCAUGUCGAUCCGUGGGAUGGAUGGCUGGCAUGUUGCCUGCGAGAUACGAAAGUUUAUUGUUAGUGAAGUUAGUUCAUCUUAGUUGGGCAUUCAUCUCGCCUCUUACCGUACCGUCACACUAAAGCCAGCAAAUCGGCGAUUCGAUGCACAAACAGCGAUUGGAGCGGGCUGCAUUCGAUGCAUUUUUAUUGGCCCGUGCACCUUGUACGAAAACCGUCCACGAACGAACACGCUUUCGGCGUGCUUUCCGGGAGGGAACCUGCCACAUUCCGCACGCAACACGAUCAGCAGCAUCAAGCAACAUGGAAGCGGCUGGCUCGUACCGCUGCGGUAUGAGCGCGGGACACCACGUGAAGGUGGACAUUGUUGCCACGAAGAAGUGGUAAAACUGGUCUGGUUAGCCAGCACCCUAGCUUCUUCAGCCGGAGCCUGUUGACUGUUGGACCAGCGCAAGCGGCCUACGAGCUUACUGUAAGGCUUGGGGAGAUACCAAACGCUCUACGCUCGCCACUGGCCACUAGUAGCUACGGGGGUUUCCUCUACCUAAGCUGUGCCCCGUAGAACUACUACGCCGGCUACGACUAUUACUGUUACAACUAUACAAAUCAGCCAGAAACCCGUUAAAGUUAAGGCGGCAGGCGCGUGGAGGAAGGUGGGUCCAAGUUUACCAAGAUUGCAGCAGCCAUCAUGAUUAAUUUAUGGAUAUAUUACCAUGAUGCAAACGCAUACCACUGAGCGCGCACACGAUCGAUCGCAUGUGCGAGAAGAUGAUGGUUGUGUGUUGGAUUGUCGGUGGAUCAAAUCCCGCACAAACCCUAGCAAAAGGUUAUAUGGGCGACAGCUAGCUGGCCAUGGUAGGAUUUUUUUGUUGGUUGUUGUUACUCAGCACUGCAAUUUAUUUCCUCCUGUCGAUUGUCGUAAUCCUAAGGCUGGACUGAUUGUGGCUAAACGAUGCCAUGUGUGCAAUACAGUCGACAGGAGACUGUAUUAGGUUUAAUGAGCAGUGGAGAGGUUAAUACUUCGAACCAGUUGUAUUUGUUACAUUACGAAAGAUUAAUUUUCUAUCACAGUAUCAGGAUGGCUUUAUUUACUUGAAGACUUAUGCAUAUCGUUUUAUGGUCAAGUUUUGUCCGUUGAUUUGAGGAUUAUUUUAAGCAUAUUCUUUAUGUUGAUAUGCAUAAUGAGUUACUAGCAAAUUAUAGACCCCUUCUUCUCAACACUCAAAUCCCUCUUAAAUCAGCACGGAUCGGAUGGGCCAGCAGCUACUCGGCCUUCGAGAGGAAAUUGUAUAAGUAAAUAAAAAAGUCAUCAUCACCAGCCCCUACAGCGAGAAGGAAGGCCAAAUCCACAUACAAACACACACACUCUCCACAUACUUUAUAGAAAGAGAAAGGAGAAACAAUCAACAACGAGGCGAGCAGAUCGCGAUCAUUUGCACACACAGUUCCCCCGAUGAGGCAACAAAAAAGGGCAACAUUGGCAGCAGAAGCGUGCGUGUGGAGUAGCGGCAAGAUUGUAGGAUAAUCAUUUCUCGUGAAAGCCAACCCAUCGAGCGAGGUAGCUAGUACGCUGGAAGAAAUCAUACACCAAGCGCGCGCGGGGCGGACGGGAACUGGACGCAUCGGUUUACGCAUCGGCGCAUUCAUCUCCAGUUGGAGUUGGAGGACUACGUAGCAGCAUCAUAGUGCACGCCGGGGUGUAAUAACGAUCGCAAUGUGCAAGGUAAUCGGAUUCGCCACCGUACGAUAUGUUUCCUCUGCUGGAAUGGCGAAAAUGAAAGGCCGAACUUUAAAACGUCUUGUAGAGGAAGUUGAGGGCUCUCUACACACACAUUCGAAAAGAUAAGUCGUAGUGUUUGUUUAUGGCCCCGCGCAGAGCAGCUGGCAAUAUGGAGGGAUUUGAUCAACGCUGGGCUCAAAGUAGUCUUGGGCGGUAAUAACGACAUUAGAGACAACUUUAAUCUGGACGACUCAGAACAUCUGUUGGACAUCAGUUCUAAGUUUUCGAUCAUGCAUAUAGCUGCAACUUCUCUCAGCUUCUCGCAAUCGCUUUAAAUAGCUGGGAGAAGGGUUUCAAAUGUACAUUUACAUGGGUGAUGCCAGUGUGAUUUUUGAUAUCCAGCAUCGUAGAUCGAUCAGUAGCUGGUGUUAAAACUGGCUAAACUUGUCAACUACCGGAGAGGAAAUUAAACUUAAGAUUUUGCUUUGCUCAUUCCUUUCUGGCACACAUCCUAAUGUAAAGAAGCCUCUAGUUUUGUAAGAUACACGACUCCCGGUUUGCUAUCUUGGAGAGGUUACCAAGCACAGCUUGCUUCAAUCACAUCGUUGCUUAGCAAAACCCAAUGCAACUACGAUAAGACAUGUACAAAAACGCUAAAACAUCGUCGACUUGUACAAUAUUCGUGUUUAGAGCUUAUAGUCUAUGAUUAUGAUAUCUUGGGCAGGUUUUCUAAUUUGACGAGUCAUCAAAUGCAUGGAACACAUCAAAUGCAGAGAAACUCCCACCCAUGGGGAGGUAACGACUUAGAGAGAUUUCACUGUAUUGAAAGACCCGGAUAAAUCUCCCAGUUUGGAAGAGUGUUUUCCAACGGUUGCACUUGCAAUUCCUAAUCGAAAACAAACAACCGUCCGCGGUUUAGAAUGCGUAACCGGUACACACACUUGC